This is an RNA transcript of Nilaparvata lugens (brown planthopper), 1191 nucleotides long. RefSeq lists it as uncharacterized. NCBI's taxonomy places the organism in Eukaryota, Metazoa, Arthropoda, Insecta, Hemiptera, Delphacidae. The transcript has 6 exons. The record is from RefSeq and is a predicted model, not a curated record.
UGAGUACAUUAAUGUGUGAAAUGUUCUCUUUUAUAUGUAUUGUGUUGAAUUGUAGUAUUGGCUAAAUAUUUGUGUAAUCUGAUAUCUAGUAAUCUAUAUGACUGUAUUUAUAAUUGAUAUGACUGUAUAAUCUAUAUAUGGGUAAUCUAUAUGACUGUAAUAAUGUUUAUAAUUGUAUUAUUUGUUUAUGACUGUAAUCUAUAUGACUGAAGAUUGUUUUAAUUUUCGGAACAAAAUAUUCCAAAUUAAUAUAUAUUUUACAGUUAUGAGUACCAAGUAGAAGGAAUGUUGUUAUCAAUUCGGAUCUUAAUCUUUCUAAAUUCAAAAUUAAUAAUUGUUUCAAGUGUUUGUGUUUAGUUUCAAUGUGGAAAUUAGUGCUGCUGUAAGUGCUGCUAUAUCUCCUGCUUCCUGAUGGAUUGGACGAUGAGUUGAGUGUAGAAGGAAUGACAGAGAACAUAGAUCUCUCAACUGUUGAAGAAAAUCAAAUUACAAGCAAUUUGCCUGAAAAUAAAUCGUCGCCGCAAAAAGAAAACUUGAUGCCAGCAAAGAAAGUCAAAACGUAUCACAGCCGAAAAAGAUAACACUGAACCGUAAUACAUCCAUUAGCGCACACUCUGAAAAAGAAAAUCAACAUCAAACUGAAAAACAGUCAGAAGAGAAAGACUCAACUGAACCUGAGAAAAAAAUUGUCAAAAUCUCAAGUUUUUCUGUAAAAGAGAGAUUGGAACUGAGAGCUCAAAAAUUUGGUGUGCCAUUGUCAGAAGCCGCAAAAAAAGAAGCUAGAGCUGCAAGAUUUGGUAUAAGUGCAAGUCAGCCGACUAAUCAGGUUGCAUCAACUGAAGUUUUGAAAAAACGAGCAGAAAGGUUUGGUGCAACGGUCUCCUCUCAAUUACAAAAGACCGAACUAAACGACAAAAAGAAAUCAAGAGCAGAGCGAUUUGGACUGACCGGCAGCACUCCUUCAGCCACCGACAAGGCCAAUCUAGACGAAAAAAUGAAAUUGAGAGCGGAAAGGUUCAAAAUAAAUAAUGUAUAAGAAAUGUGACUUUUCAAUUAACAAAAAUACGAAAAAUACCUGCAGAAAUUCAUUCAAAGGUUUAUAGUAUAAAUAAUUUCAUAAUGUUUUAUAAAAAUCCCUUCAAAUAAGCAGGCUAAUUAUAAAAAAUAUUACACAAGUAUUCAAAUUUAAAA